This 331-nucleotide ribosomal RNA is filed under the name uncultured Paenibacillus sp. RNAcentral's name for it is "bacterial SSU rRNA". It matches the Rfam family "Bacterial small subunit ribosomal RNA", at positions 568 to 898 of the family's 1533-position model. Lineage: Bacteria; Bacillati; Bacillota; Bacilli; Caryophanales; Paenibacillaceae. The record is from RNAcentral.
CGCGCAGGCGGUCAUUUAAGUUUGGUGUUUAAUCCCGGGGCUCAACCCCGGGUCGCACUGAAAACUGGGUGACUUGAGUACAGAAGAGGAGAGUGGAAUUCCACGUGUAGCGGUGAAAUGCGUAGAUAUGUGGAGGAACACCAGUGGCGAAGGCGACUCUCUGGGCUGUAACUGACGCUGAGGCGCGAAAGCGUGGGGAGCAAACAGGAUUAGAUACCCUGGUAGUCCACGCCGUAAACGAUGAGUGCUAGGUGUUAGGGGUUUCGAUACCCUUGGUGCCGAAGUUAACACAUUAAGCACUCCGCCUGGGGAGUACGGUCGCAAGACUGAA